Molecule: ribosomal RNA, 465 nt
Filed under: uncultured Desulfotomaculum sp.
Lineage: Bacteria; Bacillati; Bacillota; Clostridia; Eubacteriales; Desulfotomaculaceae
Description: bacterial SSU rRNA
Rfam family: Bacterial small subunit ribosomal RNA
Source: RNAcentral
GACGGGGGCCCGCACAAGCGGUGGAGUAUGUGGUUUAAUUCGAAGCAACGCGAAGAACCUUACCAGGUCUUGACAUACCGGGCAAAGCCUCAGAGAUGAGGAAAUAGUUAUGCCGGAUACAGGUGGUGCAUGGUUGUCGUCAGCUCGUGUCGUGAGAUGUUGGGUUAAGUCCCGCAACGAGCGCAACCCCUACGGUUAGUUGCUAACGGGUAAGGCCGAGCACUUUAGCCGAACUGCCGUUGACAAAACGGAGGAAGCGGGAUGACGUCAAAUCAUCAUGCCCUUUAUGUCCUGGGCUACACACGUGCUACAAUGGCCUGUACAAAGGGCAGCAAAGGGGCGACCCGGAGCAAAUCCCAAAAAACAGGUCUCAGUUCGGAUUGCAGGCUGCAACUCGCCUGCAUGAAGGCGGAAUCGCUAGUAAUCGCAGGUCAGCAUACUGCGGUGAAUACGUUCCCGGGCCUU